CGAAUCCGUUUCUUAACCGACAUUGAGUCUUAUCGUAGCAGCAGUCUUGACCUCCUUUGUAUCCAGGUUCUAAAGCUCGACCGUACUCAUCAACCGUUACAUUAUAAAGACCACACCGACACUCGGUGCAUCCUUGUUUAUCCACAACCCCUCUAGUGUCAAUAGCGUGAAUAUUUAGAAGCCAUUUGAACUCAUACCCAUCAGGUACUUUCUCCGGGUUACCGAUCUCGAUCGCGUAAGGAUCAGGAACAUACGUCGAAGUCUUGCGUGUUUCUGAUCCUAACCCAAAGUAUUGUCUAACUCUGUUCCUACACAACCCUCCGUUACUAACGAGAAUAUAAUCAGGGCUCGAACCAAGGUUCCUAGGCGUGUCUAGGUGCGAAAGGUUGAGACCUUUACGCACGUAGUAAGGGUGCACAACCCAGUGGUGGAGAUAUGUCUCGUGUAACGGGACGGGGUUACCGUCUUGGUCGACUACUUCGGCGUCGAAACCUUUGAGGCCGAUGUGGCCUCUAGGGAAAUCGAUGUCGAACAGGUAAGGGUCUGCGACUGAUCCUGGAGUCAUGACUUGUUUUGGUGAUAGGAAACUUGCGGACUUGAUGUUAAUGCUGUGGCUAGGCGAUAUGCUUAACGCGACCAGAAGAAGAAGUAAGGACGAGAUGAUCAGGUAACAACGAGCCAUUUUGUCCUGUUUCGAUAUCGUUAUAGAGAGGUAAUAAAUGAAGUAAAACUGAUAAAAUACGUAAUCAUGAACCGGUUUGACCUAAACCGAGAUCUGUUACCGGCAGUUUACCUGCAAGAAGCUCUCCGGUCCAGGCAGCUGCUGAGAAACGAGGAUGUAAAAGAGUCCCAUGACUCCUGUAUGACCAAUGACAUUACUGUAAUUGAACUCCAAAGACAGUGUCUCUCCAUUAGUCACUUUCACCGGUUCAGGAUAACAAGACGACAUUCCAACGAUGUAACCAGCUUCGCUUCCAGGCUCAUCUCCAUUGCCAUACUUCGGCAUCGAGGAGCAUAUUACCUCACCGUCCUGAUCAAAAUCCAUAACACAAGAGUCUCAGUUUUUGAGUAAAAAGUUUUUGCCUUAGCUUAAAACCUUAGGUUGGGUGUUUAUACCCAAACCCGAAAUCCGAACUGAGACCAAACCAAAAUUCUAUCUAAACCAUCAUAAAAAAUAUCCAAAUAGAGUCUAAGAAUACUUUCGGACUCGGGUACAAUCCAAACCAAACUAAAAUCCGUACUAGAAUCCAAAAAAUCCACAUUAGUUAAUCUGUUAAUGUUUUUUUCUACAUAUGUUACGUUAAGAUAGUUUAGAAAUUUUUAAAAAAAUUAGAAUUUUUUGUAGUUUUUAUAGGAAUUGCGAAUCGUUAUUUUGGAAUACUUUUAAUUAGUUUAGGUAGCUUGACAAGUUUUUAAUCAGAUUUUUGAUUUUUUUGUAUAUUUUAAAUAUGUUUUUGUCAAUUUCAUUAAUUUUAUUUCCAGAUUUAAGUACGAUUUUUAGACAAUGGUUAUAAUUUGAUUUGAAUCAAACACAUACGAAAUCGAAUCAAACCCGAUCCAAAAACUAGUAAAAUAUGAAUAAGACCAUUGUGCAUGAUACCGAAAAUCCAAAACAAACCCCUAACAAGACACCAAACGUCCGGGCCUGUUAAAAACUAACCUCUCGGUACAGAGCUGCACCGAUACCACCUGCGUGCUGGUGAGCUACUCCAUAGACAAUAUACCCGUUAAACGGCAUCAUUAAGCUCUUUUUCUUAACAUCAACACACCCAUCACCCUUAGUUUUGCACGGUUUCACGUCAUAUUCCACCUGAAAAGAAAGCAAUUAAUACACCUUAGCUAACGUUUUUAAGUAAUAAAAGCAUUAAUAAGCAGAGAUGUGAAAAGUCUUUACUGACAUGACAAAAAUGUUCUUGGUUAUCUCCUGUUGAUCCUUCUGACCGUUCCCAAGAAUCCGUUACAUCGAGAAUAUAAACCUUAGCCGGCAACAAAACCGAGCUGUCCCAAUCAACCCAUCUCACAGUAUACUUAAGAUACACAGUUCUUGUUUUGUUUCCACUUUCGAAUCCGUUUCUUAACCGACAUUGAGUACUAUUAUAAGCUUUAGUUUGUUAACACUAUUAUACAAGAUUUGUAACAAACUUUAAGAUCAUUAAUGAAUAAAUCAACAUUCUUCUUUGAAUCAAGAACACUUCAAUAACUCCACUCUAAAUCAUCAUAAUCCAAUCAGAUCAGAACCAUAUACUAACCACAAACGCGUUUCAGAGAGUUUAGCGAUAUACAAUACCUUCGUAAUCACCAUUCUUCGAAACGAUCCAGCGACCAUCAAACGCCUCAUCGAACGAUUCAUACAACACCUGAACACAAAUCCAACGAGCUCAGAUCUAAAAAAUCUUCAGAUCUACGAUAACAUUCGGAAACAUUUUCCCGAGAAAAAUCGAAAUCUACCGUAUUAUCGUCGCAGUGGCAAAGGUUCUGGAGCGAGAGGAGAGCUAGGAUAAGCAUAAGGCCGGAGAAUAGCUGCCGGUCUCUCAUCAUCGGAACGGUUCGAGUAGAUCGGAGGGAGAAGAGAGAGAGAGAGAGAGAGAGUGGAAUCUAUUUUUUUUUUUUCCUGAAGAUUUUAGUUUCUCUGAGUGAUUUAUAUAUUUAAAUCCCGUAGACUCGGUCGAGUGUGUCGAUUUUUGUUGUUUCCACCAAUGAGAUCGCUCGCCACGUGGUGAGAGCCAAUAGAUGGACGCCACGUCAUGCGAAAGAGAGGUAUCCUACGUGCGCAAUUUGUAUUGCUACGUAAUGUGCAUGUUUAUUAUACAGAUAGUCUAACGUCAGUAUUGGGCUGGGCCUGUAAUCAAUUUAAAAGUCUCUGGUAGAGUAAGAGUCUUCUAGAAGCAAAAGUAACACAUUUAUCAGGAACAAAGAACCAAAUCAAACUAAACUAAAAAAAAUGAGGUUUGGUUCGGAUUUAGAUCAUAUAAUACACGAAUGAACGGAUCCUAUAACUUUUGAACUGAAAAACCAAAACCAAACUGGAGCAAACAAAGACCCGAAUGGAUACCCGAAUUUUUAUAAUAUAAUAUAUACACUUAUAAAUAUUAACUACAUUUAGUUUCAAAAUGAUAAAAUAAUUUGAAAUACUAUUUCUAAAAACUAAAUCUCCAAAUACAUUUUAUCCGAAAUAUUUUAAAUUAUUUGAACUAUCCAAAUUUUACCUAAAUUAUUGGAUAAAAAUCUAACAUUUAGUAAAAAAAAGACUGAAUUUACUUACUUUUUUUUGAAACACAUCUGAAUUUUCUUACUUUUAACAAAACUUAACAAAAAAACUAAAAUCGAACGGCUAACGAAUAUGAUCCAAAAAUGACCUCGGAUAUUAUUCGGUUUUUAAUUUUGUUAUCUAAACUAAACUGAAAAAUGAAAUAACCGAAUCAGAACCAAAGUGAAUCCUAAACAUCUAAAACUGAAAAGCAGAAAAAAUCGAAAGAACCGAACCGGAACCGAAUCCAAAAUUCUUUAGCGGAGCAAGAGUCUCUAUUGGGCUGGGCCUACUAAUCAAUUUGAAAGUCUCUAGCUGAGCAAGAGUCUUCCACAUACCAUUGACAAAAGCAAACUUUUUACACACGUAAGUCGUAAUAACCAUUACAGAAAUGUCACACACUAGUGGAAGAGUACAAGAUACUUUGUUAUUUUAAUAUUUGGUAUUAGAAAAAGUGGAAAACUAUAAAAUGUUGAAGAUGAAUAUCUAUAGUUUUACUGUUUAGGUACUAAGUGAUUGGUAACCAUCUUCCCGGUUCUUUCUCCGGUAUACCACGGCGACUAUUAGAACCACAACCGCCACCGUCACUGCAAGAAAGGCUAAAAAGCUCAUACUGCUCGAAUGUGCCUGCAAAGAAAUAAUGAAUACUGACGUUAAGUAAAGUAACACACAUGGUAAUAACCGGUUUGACCUAAACCGAGAUCUGUUACCGGCAGUUUACCUGCAAGAAGCUCUCCGGUCCAGGCAGCUGCUGAGAAACGAGGAUGUAAAAGAGUCCCAUGACUCCUGUAUGACCAAUGACAUUACUGUAAUUGAACUCCAAAGACAGUGUCUCUCCAUUAGUCACUUUCACCGGUUCAGGAUAACAAGACGACAUUCCAACGAUGUAACCAGCUUCGCUUCCAGGCUCAUCUCCAUUGCCAUACUUCGGCAUCGAGGAGCAUAUUACCUCACCGUCCUGAUCAAAAUCCAUAACACAAGAGUCUCAGUUUUUGAGUAAAAAGUUUUUGCCUUAGCUUAAAACCUUAGGUUGGGUGUUUAUACCCAAACCCGAAAUCCGAACUGAGACCAAACCAAAAUUCUAUCUAAACCAUCAUAAAAAAUAUCCAAAUAGAGUCUAAGAAUACUUUCGGACUCGGGUACAAUCCAAACCAAACUAAAAUCCGUACUAGAAUCCAAAAAAUCCACAUUAGUUAAUCUGUUAAUGUUUUUUUCUACAUAUGUUACGUUAAGAUAGUUUAGAAAUUUUUAAAAAAAUUAGAAUUUUUUGUAGUUUUUAUAGGAAUUGCGAAUCGUUAUUUUGGAAUACUUUUAAUCAGUUUAGGUAGCUUGACAAGUUUUUAAUCAGAUUUUUGAUUUUUUUUUUUGUAUAUUUUAAAUAUGUUUUUGUCAAUUUCAUUAAUUUUAUUUCCAGAUUUAAGUACGAUUUUUAGACAAUGGUUAUAAUUUGAUUUGAAUCAAACACAUACGAAAUCGAAUCAAACCCGAUCCAAAAACUAGUAAAAUAUGAAUAAGACCAUUGUGCAUGAUACCGAAAAUCCAAAACAAACCCCUAACAAGACACCAAACGUCCGGGCCUGUUAAAAACUAACCUCUCGGUACAGAGCUGCACCGAUACCACCUGCGUGCUGGUGAGCUACUCCAUAGACAAUAUACCCGUUAAACGGCAUCAUUAAGCUCUUUUUCUUAACAUCGACACACCCAUCACCCUUAGUUUUGCACGGUUUCACGUCAUAUUCCACCUGAAAAGAAAACAAUUAAUACACCUUAGCUAACGUUAAAAGCAUUAAUAAGCAGAGAUGUGAAAAGUCUUUACUGACAUGACAAAAAUGUUCUUGGUUAUCUCCUGUUGAUCCUUCUGACCGUUCCCAAGAAUCCGUUACAUCGAGAAUAUAAACCUUAGCCGGCAACAAAACCGAGCUGUCCCAAUCAACCCAUCUCACAGUAUACUUAAGAUACACAGUUCUUGUUUUGUUUCCACUGUCGAAUCCGUUUCUUAACCGACAUUGAGUCUUAUCGUAGCAGCAGUCUUGACCUCCUUUGUAUCCAGGUUCUAAAGCUCGACCGUACUCAUCAACCGUUACAUUAUAAAGACCACACCGACACUCGGUGCAUCCUUGUUUAUCCACAACCCCUCUAGUGUCAAUAGCGUGAAUAUUUAGAAGCCAUUUGAACUCAUACCCAUCAGGUACUUUCUCCGGGUUACCGAUCUCGAUCGCGUAAGGAUCAGGAACAUACGUCGAAGUCUUGCGUGUUUCUGAUCCUAACCCAAAGUAUUGUCUAACUCUGUUCCUACACAACCCUCCGUUACUAACGAGAAUAUAAUCAGGGCUCGAACCAAG
RNAcentral lists this long non-coding RNA (5589 nucleotides) under Brassica napus (rape). RNAcentral's name for it is "long non-coding RNA (BNAP_LNC025309)". Lineage: Eukaryota; Viridiplantae; Streptophyta; Magnoliopsida; Brassicales; Brassicaceae. The record is from RNAcentral.